Molecule: ribosomal RNA, 253 nt
Filed under: uncultured bacterium
Lineage: Bacteria
Description: partial 16S ribosomal RNA
Rfam family: Bacterial small subunit ribosomal RNA
Source: RNAcentral
UACGAAGGGGGCGAGCGUUGUUCGGAUUUACUGGGCGUAAAGGGCGCGUAGGCGGGAUGGCAAGUCGAUCGUGAAAUCCCUCGGCUCAACCGAGGAACGUCGAUCGAUACUGCUGUUCUUGAGGAUUGCAGAGGAGACUGGAAUUCCCGGUGUAGCGGUGAAAUGUGUAGAGAUCGGGAGGAACACCGGUGGCGAAGGCGGGUCUCUGGGCAAUUCCUGACGCUGAGGCGCGAAAGCGUGGGGAGCAAACGGG